AUUACUUUGUAUUACAUCAGUACUUCUACUCCAGAUAAGUGUGUCGGAUACUGUUGGAAACUAUAGGAGGCCAUUGUUUGGGACUAAGCUCCUGCAUUGGCAUACAACAGACUGGGCUAAAAACGGAGUACUCAUCCAUGCUACUAAGGACUAGUAAUCAUGGGCCUUCAAUUGGAACCCAGGACCCAAUAUUUCCAGGUCACUAAGGGUGAAAAUAAGCCGUCUAUCUGACCUCCUGGAAAAUCAAAAUUAGAGAAGAUAACAUCCAAUUUACAGAAUUGCUGACCAAGUAAGGAAUGUAGUAUGUAAUCGGGCAACAAAGGGAUUCAACACAUGACCUUAGCCUUUUGAUAUUGUUUCCCUAGCCUCAGACUCUGUGACAGAUUCACUUACCCUGUGAUGUAUAUAAGUAUAGUACUCUAGCAGUGUGUUCCAAACAUGAUGUUUAAUCACAUGAUGGAAAACACACUCGAAAGUGUGGCUACAUCAACUUCAGAGAAUCAGAAGAUUAAAUUUAGCAGUUCUAACUGCCAGACUCGUUCACCUUCUUUGACCCAGGAUAUAAUUUAAGCUACGCUCACUUUAUACUGUGAAAAGUAUGAACUAAUUGUGCAUGUCAAAGUAAGUUCUUCAAGAAGAGAGAGGGCUACCUUUCCCCUAUUUGAAAGAAGAGAGAAGGAAGGGCAAAGCAGAGAAUCUCUGGAGACGUGUGUGCAAGUUUGCCUCUGGCUAGAAGUUAAUGAUCAAUUGCCUCUCUGCUCAGCUCUGUGCUCAGAGAAAGAAGCAAACUUGGGUUCUCUCUAUUCAGAUAACGCAGAGCCUGUCUACCUCUCUUUCUUUGCUUUGCCUUCAAAUAUUGCACUUCAGCACAAAGUGACUAGGCUUAAAGAUUCCACAAAAAACCCAAAGAAAUCUAUUCAAGAGGUCAUCUAUCAACAGGUUACUUGAAUUUGAAAUACAGGAGCGAAAUGCCACCAAUGCCAAGUUCCCCACCUUUAUACCCACCUCCUGAUGGAGGAUGGGGCUGGGUUGUGGUUGGAGCAUCUUUUAUCUCCAUUGGAUUUUCAUAUGCCUUCCCCAAAGCCGUCACAGUAUUCUUCAAAGAAAUUCAGCAAAUAUUCCACACCACGUACAGUGAAAUCGCAUGGAUAUCAUCCAUUAUGCUGGCUGUUAUGUAUGCAGGAGGUAAGGUUCUUGUCUUGGAUUAAGUAGAAUUCUGGAUUAAGAAAACAAUUCCUUCAUGCCACAGUUCUACUGUGUGAUUUAUAUGCAGUAUCCUGGUAUAUAUUACUUUUUUUUUUAAAUUUUUUAUUGUUGGUUGUUCAAAACAUUACAUAUUUCUUGAUAUAUCAUAUUUCACACUUUGAUUCCUGGUAUAUAUUAAAGCCCUGUUUUCAUGGUACAGUCACAAACAAUCAAAAGUAUUACUAAGAAAUUUUAAAUGAUUUUAAUCCAGUAUCUAAAACUAUUCAUUUUGAGCCUCUGGCAUUGUUUGAAUGAAAAUUUAUUUGUAAAAAUCAAAAUUUACUAACUUAUGAGAUUUCCAAGGUAAAUACUUUUCUAUUUAGAUUGGAAUAAAAGCUGCACUAGUGUUGGUAUCAUUUCUUAUUAUUGGUCUAGCUGGGAGAAAUGUUUUUGUUUUUUGUUUUUUGUUUUUUUUUUUUUGAAUGAGAAGGAAACUUGUUUAAGUUGCUGACAAUUCAUAAGCCCUGAAAAUACUUUACCUUACACUGCAAAAAUGGAGUGUUAUUCACAUUCUGGAGUCUUUCAGAAUCAGGUAAGAAACAAUUCCUUAUUAUUAUUGUUCUCAUUAAAUAUGACAUAUUUUUUAUUUAAAUGGUUGCCUAAUAACAUGUUGUUAUAUUCUAUAUUUUAAUGAUGGGUUUGAGUCAUGAAGAAUAAUGAAUAUAUCAAAAUAUCAUCUCACUUCUGAAUGUUAAAAAAAAUGGAAUUAGUACAUUUUUAUGUGGCUUGUCAUCUUUAAAUCAGUCUCACUAGCAGACCAGACUGACUUACAAAUUUUUUUAAAGCCAUUACUUAAAAUACAUGGAUUUUAGAGUUUUCAUUUUCCAAAUGGAUAUUUAACUGCAAGAUACAAUUAUGGACUCAGAAUAUAAGAAUUUAAACAAAUCAUAUAAAUUAGUAUCAUUUUUUAAAUUUUAGAAGUAAAGAUGAUGUGGCUCUUACUGACAGAGAUAUAACAUUAUUGCUAUUUGCCCAAUAUUUAUUAAUAUUUAGUUUCAGCCAAGGCCUCCCUCAUCACUUGAUAUACAGGGUAUGAGUUAAUCCUCUUAACCUAUGAAAUAAAUGUUAUUUUCUCUCUCUAGAUGAAGAAAUGGAGAGAUAAAAUAGCUUUACUGAGUCAAACAUCUCACUAGUGGCUGAUAAAAGUGGUACUUCAAAUAUUUAAUCACUGUAUUCUCUGCCUUUCUCGUAUCUUCUUCUUUUCAUCUAGAAAACGACAGAGCCAUAGCUAACCCAGGCCUUCUGCAAGCCCAAUGCAAUGUUUUUUCCUUCCUUGCAAUGUAGUGACUUAUGUACUACAUCCACCAAGGUCAUUUGUUCAAUGACAUAAUAAUUAAUUUUAAUGAUGUUAUCUUUUCAUUGCACUAUCAAUGUAAAAAAAUCCUGAAAUAAUCCUACUGUGUGUGUGUGUGAGAUGUGGGCAUACACACAUAUGUUGAUAUUGGUGUUUUUUAUUUUUUUGUUAAUCAAUAAUUUUAGAUUGAUACAGCAUGAGACUACGUAGGUUAAACUGAUGUAUUUUUAUUUUAAUAUCAAGUGGUAUCUUCAGAAUGCUAUUUGGACAUGUCAAUAAGAAAAUCUGCAUCUAAAACCCUUUCUAAGAAUCUCUUUUGUACAGUUGCUGUAAGCAUUUAGCAAUGGUAUUUUUUUAUGAAAAAGGACAAGAAAUAUUGUGCUUUGGGUUUUGUUCUUUCAGCCAGAGGGUAGGUGUUCUUUCAUAAUGCUCUGCUAGAAAAACACACAAGUCAUCUUAACUUGAGCUCCAAAAGCUGUUAAUAUAAAGGAAUGUAGUGUUUCAAUCCCCUCUUAAAUAUACAAUACCUUUAUUUAUUUUUAUGUGGUGCUAAGGAUCGAACCCAGUGCUUCACAUGUACAAAGCGCACGCUCUACCACUGAUCUACAGCCCUAACCCUCCCCCUCUUAAAUACAAUGUAAAAAGAAUCUUCUAAGUGACUUAACAUCAGUUUAUUGAAUUUAAUUGGACUUCAGGUCCUAUUAUAUUCUUAAUUUUAUGUUGUCCAAAUUGAUGACUAAACUUAUAGGUGAGACAAAAAUUGAUGUUAUUAAAUUAAGACUUGACUUAAUUUUUUACACACAAACACAAAGUCUCAGUGGCUUAAGGCAAGGUAGAUUUAUUUCUUACUCAAGCAGUGUUUCAUCUUGUGGCUAUGCCAUUAUAAGUCUUUGUAGAUUAUUCUUUCAAUCUUCUCUGUUUGCUGGACAAAACAAAGGUAGACAGCAUGGAUGAUCAUAAACUUCAUUUAUGCAUACAUCCCAUGGGUCAGAACUCUUAAAACUUCCCUACCUAGAUUUAGGGACUAUGGGAAAGGCCAGCAUUCCAGAGGAAAACUCAGAGCUGCAUGCAUCCAGCUAUUGCUGGACUGAACUUUAUACCUCACCAAUCAUUUUUCAUAAACAAAAGGAGAAUGGGUUUAUGGACUUGCCAUGGACAUAUAACAGCCUUAUACUCCCUGGCUGAAUAUAAAAGCAUCAUAGAAAUGGAGAAUGAUAUGAGUUUAAAUCACUAUAAAAUAUAAUUUUAAUUUCCUCAAACCACUAAAACUUGGUAUGAAAUGAUAAGUAAAUACCUGCAUUAUAUUUGUCAUAAAUAAUUUUUUUCCUUUUAUUUAUACAUUUAUUUUCUUUUUUUAAAUGUAUAGUAAAAACUCAAAAAGGUCCAAAAAAUAUUUAUUGAAAUUCAUAAAUAAAAUGGUAGUUUGGUAGUUACAAAUUUUUAAAAAGUUGCCUUAAACUAUUUAGGAUAGUAGAUGAAUAAAAUUCAUCUAAGUUAAAAAUUGACAGAUAUUUGCUUCCAGUAGUUCAAGAAAGCAACGCUAAACAUGUGAAAAUAUUUAGUUUGUAGUAAUUGAUGAUGGUAAUAUUUAGGUGAGAUCCUAGUACUUGGAGUAUUUUCCAAACUCCUCAGUUAUCAUGGCCAAAACAUUUGGUAUGUCAUCUGUGAUCAUGGAAGAAAGUUGAGGAUUUCAGAAAUUUUGCUACGCUUUUUUCUUUCCCUUAAAACUGGAAAUAUAGUUUCAGAUUCUUUGCUUAGUGGGUAGAGAUGGUUAUAACUGCUAUAUCUACCAUCUGAUCUAGAUCUCAUGCAUUUACAUGGCUUGUUGGAAAUAAAAUUAAUGUAUUAUCCUGGUAGUUUUUAAUCUUCUAAAAAAUUAAUUUGCACAUUUUAAGCUAUAAUCCCAAUGUGAAAACAGUCUUUGUUAUGAGUGUGCAUGAUUUUUUCAGAAACACAAAUAACCAUUUAGAACAAAAAAGCCUGAUAGAUUCAGUUACUCUAAAGUGCAGGUUAUUAGUUCUGCUACUCAGAUUGCAGUGUUUUUUCCAAGGGCAGUCCAUAGAUUUUUCUGUUUGGGAAUACAGGGUCUCUUGAUAAAAAUAUAUAAUUCUAGGCCUUAUCCUCAACCCCCUCAUACCAGAAUUUUUGUUGGUAGAGUCCAGAAACUUGUAUUUUUAAACAAGUAUAUUGAAAAUCAUCUCACUUUAUGUAUAAUGUAUGGGUUUACUGCUAUAGAAAACAUCAAUGCUUGAUUGAAAAAUAUUUACAUAUUUCUCUGUAGGUUUUGAAAUAUCUUCAUGUUAGAGAGGCCUUUUUGGUUGAUGAUUAUAAAUUUGAAGACCAUAUGAGGUCUUUGAGGUGAAAAGGCACAUCACUUACUAUGAAGUAUAAUGACUCUCUACCAAGCAACUGAAAUAUUCUGUUCAACAUAAUGCUAAUUACAUUAGCCUGGAGAACAUUUAAGAUCUGACACACUCAUUAGGGCUUAGCGCUCAACCUAUUAAUCACUAUGGUGGGGUCAUUGAGUAAGAUGGAGCAUGUUCUCAGGCCUGGCCUGUGAUGUCAGGGCUGGAGUCUCUUGUAGUAAUUAGUUGGCAUCUGGGCCUUGGUAGCAAGGUAUUAUCUUUUCUUUUGAUGUCUGAAUUAAAAAUGAAACUAAUAAAAGGUAAGCAGGAACGAUGGAAAAGAAUGCAAAUUAUGUUGAUUUCUUACUUUAUCCUUAGAAUAAUGGCACUAAAUUACAGCAACCCAUCUGGCUAUCCAUAUGGUCUCCUGGAGUUCUAGCAAAUUUCAGCAAAUAGGUCAAGCAAAGUGGUCACCCUAUUAAUACAGUGCCAAAUAGCAGUAGAAAACAUAUUAUAAUUUAAACUUUCUACAUUGUUUAGAUGGAAACAGGGAUUUAUUUUGUAAACAGUGAUUACAUAGGAUAAUCUUUUAAUGUGGUGUUUGUCUGCUAUUCUGUUGAAUGGGGAUCUAAGUAUGGUUGGUUACCUGCACAAGUACUGAGUUCACACUUUGGCCUACCUGUGUCUCUUAUAGUUUUUCUGGUAAUAUCUAUUCUGCUUUGAAAGAAUCAGCUAUUUUGGAGAGCAGAAUUAGCUUUUUUUCUGCCUGGAAAUUUAUUCUUUUGUUUUAUGUAAGCACCGAUUGCCAGUUGUGCUAAAGUAAGAUUUUAUGAUGGACCACAGUACACAGGGGAGUAGAGCAUUAGACCACUGAGCUUAUUUUACUGAAGGCCAAGAAGCAAAAAGAUUUAGCAUAGCAGGUUGGUGGCCUAAUAUGUACCAGAUAUUUUUUUGCUCUCUUUAAAAUUUAAAUAAGGUCACUAUAUUAUUAUGUUUUGUGCUUUAAAUAUUUUGUAGACUGAGAGAAACUAUUAAAAUGAUUCAAUACUGCUCUUAGUAGCAAUUAAAAAAAAGUGCAUUCCCAUUCCCAUGCUUGAGAUAGAUUCGGCUUUCUUCUUAACUUUACAAAGCCAGAAAGCCCAGCAGGUAUACUUGGACAAUCCUAUGUAAGCAGUCUUGACUUCCUGUAUCUAUGCCAUUUCGUUGUUUUGUUUAUUUGUUUAUUUAGUCGGUUUUGUUUGUUUGUUUUUAACAUGAGAAUAAAUGUUGCUAAUUUUUUCCUAGGAAAUAAGGUAUGGUGUGGCAAAAACUAUCAUGCUCAACGUUUUAUCCCCUUAGAAUGAGAUCAAGUGACUAGUUUUGGCUGAUUAAACUUGAGUGGAAGGACAGGUAACCCCUGCACACCUCCUGGAAGAAACAGUGUGAGCACCUUCUUCUCUUCUGCAGCAGCCAGGUUACACAUGGCAUGGCUAACAGUGGAGGUCCCUUUCCUACUCCAGACAUUGAAUAAUUAAACAAUGCUUAUUCAGUUUCUGAAGAUUAUUAUAGAGAUGAACCUAGGAUGUAUUGAUCAUAAGAGGAAAUCUUUGUUGGAUAACUACCAUAUGACUUAUGUGAAUUAUUACACAGGUGCUGGAAUAGGCUAUGAGAUGUCUUUAGUCAACUUAGAAUAUCAUAAGAAUGUGUGCACAUGGGGUACUUCAUCAGAUCUCCGCUGGAGAAGAGAGAGUCUUUAAUAUCUAAAAUGAAAAAAGCAGUUGUAGUAGAUGUCAUCCUUGACAGUUUUCAUAGGUGUAAAAGUGAGAGAGAUGGGCACUUCAAAACACAGUACAGAGAACAAAUCAUAUCCCAGGAGAUUUCUCUGAUUAAAUGUCCUUCAUCCAUCCCAAGACAAGGCAAGGGUCAAGUACAUAUUAGAAGUAUGCUUAGGGCUUUGAAACUGUUCCAGAAAAUUCUUUGCCUACAGAGGGGCUGAUAAUAUACUGCAAAUAAUAUCAUAGUUUUUACUAAAUUUUUAUUAAAAUGCUUUCUGACUAACAUAUGUGCCUUAGACCGUGAAUCUUUCACUUAUUGAUUUAUAAAAGAAACUAUUUAUGUGGUUGCGUUUAUUAUUGCAAAUGACUGUAACCUGAUUCAAAUACCCUUCAGCCUAGAGAAAUGUUCACAUAUACAGAGGAGAAGAACAGAUAUCACUGUCCUCCAGGUCAACUAGCACCAGUGAUUCUAUUUGUUCAGUAUGUUGCUUUCUUGCCUCUUUCUUCUUCUGGAAGGGCAGCUUCAUUUAUUUAUUUUGGUAUCUUUCCCCAGCAUAAGGAAAAUAACUGCGGGCAUCUCAGUCUCAUGUUUCAGGCUCAAAUUUAUCUUGACAAAGUCUGUCCCUUUUCUCUAUAUUUCACUCUGGCAAAUUCUAGGGAAUAUAAAGAGUACCUGGCCUGGUUUGCUGGUGCCUGCAGGCAGAGGAUCAUGGAGGGACUAACAUUGGCAGCCUGAGUAGAGGAGUUCUCUAAUGGAAGGAUGAUACUAUUUCCAGAAGAAAGAAGGUUACAGAAGAGACAAUAGGGCCUUACUAUUGAACUCUUUUUCAAGAGAUUAAUAUAUUAUUUUUUAAAAGUAAAAGCAUGUGUGGGAUUUUACUAAUCACUCAUGUAUAACCUUUCAUUUAGAUACUUUAUACCUUUUGGCAUACAUUAUGUGCCCAAAAGCACAUAUGGUAUUCAGACACUCUGUUGCCUAAUGACAUACAGUGUUUAGUAGCCACCCAGAAGUCUCAAGUGCAUCUUGUGGAAGUUGAUACCUAGAGUGGAAUUUAGAUAUGGAUAGUCCUGGAAUCUCAAAAGGCUUAAUUAAUGACUUACUAGUCCAAUGAGAGGCAGCAGAGUAUUUUAAGUAAGAUAAUGAGCUUCAAAACCUCAGCUUUGAAAUUGAGACUUUGCCACUUGUUUGUUCAGGCUUUUUAAAACUUAACCUUGGAAUUUCAGUUUCUUCUUGUGUAAAAUCACAAAAGAGAGAAUGUGUGUGUGUGUGUGUGUGUGUGUGUGUGUUUUAUAUAAUCCUCUGGUCAGGGUGACUAUCAUUAAACCAAAAUUUGAAUUAUAGGAAAUUACAGUGUAUCAGGACGUUUACUCAGUUUCCUUGAACUAGGGCCAUGAGUCAGAUUAGAAAUAUUAAAGGUAUGAGAAAUUUAAGAAAUGAAGACAAGACACAGAAAUAAGUGAAAAGCGAGGCCCAGUGGGAUGAUCCAGCUCUGGUAGAGACUGGAUCUAACAGCAAAAUACAGCCCUUGCGCUUUAUUUAAAUAGGUGGGAGCACCAGUAGGAUUCAGAGUGAAGAACUUCCUGAAAGAAACAGGAAGAAGGUGGCAAAGACAAGGUAGUUAGGGGUUAGCAGGUUAUGCCCACCUCCUCUACUUCCGGCUGUUGUGCUGCGUUUGCACUUAGGGCUGUGUGAGCCAAUGAGCCAGGGGUUCAGCAUAAUCUGAGCAGUCUCCAGUAAGAGUUCUCACCAAAGUAACCCCUCGCCUUGAGAUGGCUGAGACAAACCCAUAAUUCAUUCAUGGCCCUCCAACAACAGUGUUUUGAUUAUAGUGCUUGUUGCCAUCCUGUUCUUGGUAUUAUCCAUUAUGCAAUGAAACCACAGAUAAGGAACAAGAGAAACAGAGCAAACUGUGCCAAUAAAAUUGGGAAAUGGGGUAAAGCAAGAAAUAUAAGUAGGUCAGUAGUCAUUCCUAAAAUAAAUUCCAAGGCCUUUAUUUAUAUAUGCUGUGGCAUUUCCCCCAGGCCUUCUCCUGAGUAAUGAAGUGGGCACUGGUCAUUCAUUUGGGUCAUCCUUUGAAAAUCCAGUUCAGAGAAUUCCUAAUUUUAUCAUUUCCCAUCUUCCUAAGGACAAAGUCACAAAUAUUCAAUUUCUCAGAAUUCCUUGUACUAUGGACACAGACAUAUGACCCAGGCCUAACAAUUCAGUGCAACAGGUUGGUUUUGAUUUAGAAACUACUGAUGGGAAGAAUCAGAUACGUCCUGGAAUACAUUCAGAUGAAAUGGUUAUAGAUAAUCCAUAAUCCAUUGGCAUAAAAGUAGCAUCAAUGUUCAGAGUCAGUGGGGCUUGUGAUGUAGACUGUGGUAUGAGCUAUUUGUGGCUCAUGUCCCUAAUGGAGCAGUCAAUAAUAGAGCAUGAUUUGGGCAGCACCCAGGUUUGGGUUUUUGAUUCUCCCUCUUGUUCUGUGACUUACUUUUAUGUUCUUAUUGAGUAAUUUCUUCUUUAACUCUGGGAUAGAGGGUAGAUAUAUGUGAAAUUGAGCUCCUAAAAGGUCCUACUGAGGGGAGCAUGGAAUACUGACUUGCGAUUGUUGUUUUGAAAACUUCCUAUGAAUGUUUCUUCUAUAAAAAGGAGCUUUGCUACUCUCCCUGAAAACAUUUAUAUUAGGAUUGAAGAUUUAACAAUAGUUCAAUUAACUAUUCUUAAAGGGUCUUGUAAAAUAGAAAUUAAAUUUCAUAUUUUCACAUGCUGUGAAUGACAAGUUUGAUGUAUCAUGUCUAUCAAAUACACUUUAAGUACUUGUUUCAUUAUUCUAAUACUAGUGCCUUUGGCAGAGUAAUUGCACUAUUUCAGAGAGGUUUUCAAGUGAUUAAUGUAGGUGGCUGUCCUUAAGCAAGAAUUUGCCCAGCUAGUUAGAAGUAUAUCCUGCAGGAAUAUGGUUCAUACUUUUAACCCUAAGGUAAGACCACAAUGAUGGCAGAAACUGGUCCUGUACAUUUAUUACUCAAGUAUUUAUGGUCACCAGAGGAAAGUAUGUCCAGAAAAUUCAGUGUCACAGCUGGAGAGAAAAACCUUUUAAUAGUUUCACUUAUUUAUUUAUUUCACCAGUAUACAUUGUGCAUCUACCGUGUGCAAAACACUGGUGUGGCCCUCGGGAAGUCAUAUGGAGCCAUAAGACACUGUUUUCAGAAUAUAAAAUAGCUAUUUAUAUGUUUCCUUUUUAAUUGAAAUCAUGAUACAUAUUAGUAAAGAAACAGGAGGUGCCAUAUUACUAACAUAGAAACACAUAGCUGAGUCAUCAGGCUAUGUCUCCUUGAUAUCUGAUUUAAUUAUAAUGUUGAUUCACUAACAUUGAACUUAUGGCCAAACAAGAUAAAUUAGUCCUGAAUGAAACUCAUCUAACUAAUAUAUUUUCUGUACAAGGCAACUCACUGCCUUCCUGUGCUUAAGAAAACUAACAAGUACUUCAGCAUUAUGCUUAGGUGCUCUUUUAAAUAGUAGACUCACCAAGACAAAAAGCAAAAAAAAAAAAAAAAAAAAAAGAAAAAGAAAUUGUGGCAUAA
Long non-coding RNA from Marmota monax (woodchuck), 10199 nucleotides. RefSeq lists it as uncharacterized. NCBI's taxonomy places the organism in Eukaryota, Metazoa, Chordata, Mammalia, Rodentia, Sciuridae. The transcript has 3 exons. The record is from RefSeq and is a predicted model, not a curated record.